This is a long non-coding RNA of Physella acuta, 1591 nucleotides long. RefSeq lists it as uncharacterized. The record is from RefSeq and is a predicted model, not a curated record. Lineage: Eukaryota; Metazoa; Mollusca; Gastropoda; Physidae.
CCGGCCCCUCUCGCCCAUUGUCCCUUUGUUCACACUUCUUCACAUUCCUUCCUAUUGUUCGCAAGCCAGCAUCCCGGUCCUUCGCCAUUUUUCUUAACAAAAGACUUUGCAUCCAGUCACAGUAAAACAGGUAGGCCCACUGCAGCAAUUUUAGUUCAACAGUGAGAAGCAGUAUAACUUUAUUUAUACAGAAUCUGGAAAUUUCGUAUUUUUUUGUUGGAAACUUCAUAAGUCAUUCAUUAAAUAAAAGGUAGUUUAUUUGAGCUUCCUAUGGGAGAAUAAGAUGUAAGAUGUGUAAAUAGUAGUGUGGAGACCUCAGAGCAACACUUAAUUUCAUGACCAACAGCGGUAAGGUGGUACUAUUCGUAAGCCUUACUUAUAGAUCAACACUACUCCUAUUAUCAUAUAGAGGACAGAGUAGUCAAAUGGUUGAGGACGCUAUUGCUAAACAUAAAACCAAGUCUCCAGGUGUUGUGUAUAUCAAUCAGCCCACUGUAUCAAUCUUUUAAUAAAUUAUAAGGUCCCCACUGCUUGAUACUUCACCAAAUACUGGCUACACCAGAAGAUGACUAAAUGUUCUUAACACUUAAUAACUACCACAAGCAUCACUUCUGGGCCACUGAAGGGUCCAAUCGUUCAAUUUCGGAAAUGAUAAAGUUGAUGAAAUUGCUCAAAAGUUGUCUGGCACCUUCUUAACUCAGAGACAUAGGAAUGUGGAUGGAUUAUGACAUACCUUGCACAAAUCAACAACCAGGCUUAUAUUGGAUUUGAAACCCAAAGGAAAGAGAAAGUUUGUUAUCCAAAACAAACAUGGAAAAUAUCAGAGACCAACAAAGCACAAGCAGGCAGAAUGUCAUGGACCCAACUUUAGGGAAUCUCCCAAAACCAAGUAUAAAAAGAGAGAGGUGUGGUUGUGUCUCUCAGCUCCACAAGGGUCAACAAGAAUGAGGACAACAUUGAUUUUCGUAAUACUUUUAGAUCAGAUUUUCAAUUUUUUUUGGAUCAGUUGGAUCAGGUUAACAGUUUGAUACAUAUUGCAUUUAAAUACUUAACAAAAAGAAAAGAUUCUCUUACCAAAAUAGUCUAAGAAAAAUGCUGAUUUGUAAAUUAAUAAAUUGUUUCCUUUUGUAAUAAUAUAAUAAUUUAAGUUUGCAUUGUAUGUAUGUUUAGUGUAGAUUUAAUGCCCUAAAUGAAAUGCAAUCUACAAUUUACAUUUUUUUCUUUAAAGAAUUAGUUGCAAAUUUCUUUCAUUAUUUUGUUUCACUGUACAAUCUGAAAAAAGUUUGCAACAUUUGUAUUGACAAUACUUCUGCUGGUGAUAUUUAUUUCUAAUUAAUGAAGUAAAUUAAUAUAUAUUUAGUUUACUAUAAUUAAAUACCUCACACUCGAGGCAAAAAAACAUAUUUAUUGAAUAUCGCAGUGAUAUUCCUGUUCUACAUAAUGCAUAUAAACCCUCGAACCAUCGGUCUUUUGAAAGAUUGUACAUUUUGUAUACACAAUGUCAUUCAUUUUAACACUAUUUAACCACAACUAUAAUCUAGAGAUCCUGAACAUAUUUUCGUUCUGUUAUUUAUGGACAAGGCAGACUGGU